CUCUUUAGCUUGGCAUUUGAAUCGGCUUUGCUGUUGCGAAGUAGAGUGGCGGCUUCGGCUGCCGAGGGUCGAUCCAUUUGGGAAAUGUUGUGUACUUCGGUAUGCAUCUCAAUUGGACCUGAUAUCAGGCAAGAUUACCCGCUGAACUUAAGCAUAUUAAUAAGCGGAGGAAAAGAAACUAACAAGGAUUCCCCUAGUAACGGCGAGUGAAGCGGGAAGAGCUCAAGCUUAAAAUCUCCGUGCAAGUUUUGCGCGGCGAAUUGUAGUCUAUAGAGGCGUGAUCAGUGUGGGCGCUUGGGGCAAGUUCCUUGGAAGAGGACAGCAUGGAGGGUGAUACUCCCGUUCAUCCCUGAGUUGCUCGUGCGUACGAUCCGUUUUCUUUGAGUCGCGUUGUUUGGGAAUGCAGCGCAAAGUAGGUGGUAAAUUCCAUCUAAAGCUAAAUAUUGGUGCGAGACCGAUAGCGAACAAGUACCGUGAGGGAAAGAUGAAAAGAACUUUGAAAAGAGAGUUAAAGAGUACCUGAAACUGCUGAAAGAGAACCGAAUCGUUUCCAGUGUCUAUAAUCCGUGGUAUAUUUCAUUGGCGAGUGUGUGCGUGCGUGUGCUGUGGCAGCGGCUUUUUUGGCUGCGCUCGGCGUGUGUGCUGUGUGUGCUUGCUGGUGCCCUGUGCUGCGGUGGGACGUCAAGGUCAGUUCGUAUGCUGCGGGAAAUGGCCGCCGAGGAGGUAGGGCUUACGCUUGCGUUUGUCUGUUAUAUCUUGGUGGACGAGUAGUCGCGGUUGGGACUGAGGUGCCUACAACGUGUUUUUGAGUGGGCCUGUGUCUCUGUGUGCGCCGUGUGCGGAUAGCUUGCUAUGCGUGUGUGGUUGUGUGUGGAUUGAUGUGGGUUUUAACUUGUUGCCGUUCGGGACGUUGACGAAAUGGAGCGAUUUGACCCGUCUUGAAACACGGACCAAGGAGUCUAACAUGUGUGCAAGUGUUAGGGUGUGGAAACCCCAGCGCGAAAUGAAAGUGAAGGGCAGCGUAAGUUGUCUGAGGUAGGAAAUGCUGCGGGCUUCGGUCUGCGGUGUGGCACUAUCGACCGAUCAUGAACCUUCGUGGUGAAAGAUUUGAGUUUGAGCACAUAUGUUGGUACCCGAAAGAUGGUGAACUAUGCCUGAGUAGGGUGAAGCCAGGGGAAACUCUGGUGGAAGCUCGUAGCGAUUCUGACGUGCAAAUCGAUCGUCAAACUUGGGUAUAGGGGCGAAAGACUAAUCGAACCAUCUAGUAGCUGGUUCCCUCCGAAAUUUCCCUCAGGAUAGCAGCAACUUAUUUACGAUAGUUUUAUGAGG
RNAcentral lists this ribosomal RNA (1329 nucleotides) under Phytophthora infestans T30-4. RNAcentral's name for it is "28S ribosomal RNA". It matches the Rfam family "Eukaryotic large subunit ribosomal RNA", at positions 1 to 1008 of the family's 3401-position model. Lineage: Eukaryota; Oomycota; Peronosporomycetes; Peronosporales; Peronosporaceae. The record is from RNAcentral.